Molecule: ribosomal RNA, 425 nt
Filed under: uncultured bacterium
Lineage: Bacteria
Description: partial 16S ribosomal RNA
Rfam family: Bacterial small subunit ribosomal RNA
Source: RNAcentral
GUGGGGAAUCUUGCGCAAUGGGCGAAAGCCUGACGCAGCCAUGCCGCGUGAAUGAUGAAGGUCUUAGGAUUGUAAAAUUCUUUCACCGGGGACGAUAAUGACGGUACCCGGAGAAGAAGCUCCGGCUAACUUCGUGCCAGCAGCCGCGGUAAUACGAAGGGGGCUAGCGUUGCUCGGAAUUACUGGGCGUAAAGGGCGCGUAGGCGGACAGCUUAGUCAGAGGUGAAAGCCCAGGGCUCAACCUUGGAAUUGCCUUUGAUACUGGCUGUCUUGAGUUUGGGAGAGGUGAGUGGAACUCCGAGUGUAGAGGUGAAAUUCGUAGAUAUUCGGAAGAACACCAGUGGCGAAGGCGACUCACUGGCCCGUUACUGACGCUGAGGCGCGAAAGCGUGGGGAGCAAACAGGAUUAGAUACCCUAGUAGUCC